UGUAGGUCCUCUACAGAUUUUUGGAUUACUUAAGCAAAUUUGAUUGGGAGAAAUACUGUGUAAGUUUAAAUGGACCAGUUUACAAAUCCUCUCUACCUAAUAUUGUGGCUGAAGUACCAGAUAAUAGAGGGGAUGAUGUACUGCUAGGUGAAGAGUUUAUUAGAAACUGUGUACCAUCAAAGGGGUGUGAGACAAACUUACGAGUUUGUUCCUUAUAAUUGAUCCACUAAAAGAGAACAACCACCUUGGCCGUAGUGUCAAUAGAGGUAGCUUCUAUCGAAAAUGUAGUGCUUUUUAAAUAUGGAGCUCGCAAGCUAGGCUGGAUUCUCUUGUUACCAGCAGAGAGAAUAUCAGAUGAACUUAACAAGUUUUUAGCAACACUUUGGAUAGGCAUGAAAGUAAAUGUCAGACUACUGUGCAAAAUAAUGCCUUGUUGGAGCUGGGUGAAGAUUUGGAGUUGAUACCAGUAAAUGAAACAUCAACUAUGUCUCUUUUUGGUAGGUUUAAGCUUUGUAAGUUGCAAUAAGUUUCUUUAUUCUCGGAUAAGCUAGUGCAAUAAGUUGUAUUUACAUAUCUAUUACGACUUUAGAUUUUGAUCGAAAGUGAUGAUGUAUAUGAAUACAUUUGUAGACAUA
This is a long non-coding RNA of Rosa rugosa (rugosa rose), 635 nucleotides long. RefSeq lists it as uncharacterized. The transcript has 3 exons. Lineage: Eukaryota; Viridiplantae; Streptophyta; Magnoliopsida; Rosales; Rosaceae. The record is from RefSeq and is a predicted model, not a curated record.